GGUUGUAUGGUCCAACGGUUAUGACGUCAGAUUCUGACUCUGCCUGAAAAUUCAGGUGCCUUACUCGUCAUUCAUUCUGAAGACCCGCGUUCGACUCGCGGUACGACCU
This is a non-coding RNA of Violaceomyces palustris, 109 nucleotides long. The record is from the annotation of a GenBank genome assembly. Lineage: Eukaryota; Fungi; Basidiomycota; Ustilaginomycetes; Violaceomycetales; Violaceomycetaceae.